This 478-nucleotide ribosomal RNA is filed under the name uncultured bacterium. RNAcentral describes it as "partial 16S ribosomal RNA". It matches the Rfam family "Bacterial small subunit ribosomal RNA", at positions 28 to 523 of the family's 1533-position model. The record is from RNAcentral.
GACGAACGCUGGCGGCGUGCUUAACACAUGCAAGUCGAACGGUAAGGCCCUUCGGGGUACACGAGUGGCGAACGGGUGAGCAACACGUGGGUGAUCUACCCUGCACUUCGGGAUAAGCCUGGGAAACUGGGGCUAAUACCGGAUAGGACCCUGGGAUGCAUGUACUGGGGUGGAAAGCUUUUGCGGUGUGGGAUGGGCCCGCGGCCUAUCAGCUUGUUGGUGGGGUGAUGGCGUACCAAGGCGACGACGGGUAGCCGGCCUGAGAGGGUGACCGGCCACACUGGGACUGAGAUACGGCCCAGACUCCUACGGGAGGCAGCAGUGGGGAAUAUUGCACAAUGGGCGCAAGCCUGAUGCAGCGACGCCGCGUGAGGGAUGACGGCCUUCGGGUUGUAAACCUCUUUCAGCACCGACGAAGCGCAAGUGACGGUAGGUGCAGAAGAAGGACCGGCCAACUACGUGCCAGCCGCCGCAGUAA